UAGCUUGUACAGAUUUAACGUUUGUAAUCCUUCUAAUAGUUUUUUUAAUUGAUUUUACAGCUAAACAGCUCUGUGGAUUUGACAUUUAUCUUGGAUGUUCUUUGCAAAAUUCUCUGAAAAAUAGAGUCAUUUCUGCUGAAGAGCUGAAAUCGAUGCCGGAAAAACUUAGUUGCGACAACUUCAUGCUUUUGAUUGAUCCAGAAAAUUGUAUCAUCCGUGUGGUAUUUCGAGAACACGAAUCAGCUCAUGAUGUCAUCCAAGCCUAUUUCACUGCUGUCUGUAUGGCUAUCAUGCUCUCUGUCUCCAAGACAACGAGAUUGGCUCAUCUUCCUGAUCCAGCCAUGAUCAACAAAAAUCCAGGAAGGAUUAUGAGUGACGUUACUCAACCAUAUGAUUUCCUUGUCUGCACGGGUAAAAGUUAUUCUGGAGGAAUACCCUCAGAAGAACAAAUUGCGAAAGUUUUAGAGUCAAAUAAUGAAAUAAGUAAAGCUUUCAAAAUCUUCAUGGACCUCUUGGAAACUCAAGGGUGGAAGACCGAUCGUCACCAUUUCAUUGUUGAUGAGUGGAGAGCAUCGUGGCCUUUGUAUCGAUCAAGUGACAACAGAUCAGAAACUGGAAAGAAAAAGUGAGAAGUCUAAUGAAGGUGGUGUAGCUUAUACCCAGGUGAAUUCUUCAAAAGGUGUCUAACACCAACAUUGAUCAAGCAUCGGUUGAAGAUGUCUUGACACAAGGUCAGUUCUUCCCUCAUAGCGCAAAAGCUAUCUUGCGCCAUGUUAGACCUAAGUUUCUCAGUUUUCAUGGCGAGGCAGACACUAAUUUCACAUUGUCUCUUUCAACUUUAGAGUUUUCAAAACUAUACAAGUGAAAUUCUAGCCUUCCAUACUUGACAAGAUAAUAGUCCUCAAGGCUAUGUUGAUUCAUAGAGAAAAAAAGGAGGUACUUGCAGUUCGGGCAUCUUGGAAUUUUUUAGAUGACGUAGGUCGGCACAGCGACUUUUAUCGUCGAUUUUCUUGGAAGUGGUGUAAUUUAUGGAAAAAAGUCAUGCUAUAAAAAGUGCUUGAUAUUAUAUAAUGAGGUGAUUCAAGCAAAAAAAUGGAACAUUAUGGUCUGUUUUUCAUACUUCAAAUUCCGGAUUUCGCUGGCCAAGUUGUACCAACCUACGUCACAGGGUAAACAAAUCUCAUGACGUAAACACCUCCUUUUGUUUCUCUAUGAUGUUCAUUCGGGCCACAGAGAGUGGCCCCAGACAACAGCCCAAGGUAAAUGUCAUGAGAAAGCAUCUUUCUCCAUCUGAUCAAACUUACAUUGCAAAGACUCGCAAGUGGUUGCAAUGGAUGACUAUUGCCAACUUGAAUUCUUAGAAGAACUGUAACUUUUGUCACCAGGAUCAAAAGCACAUGGUGAUUUAACUGGUCAGAUCGCAAUAUGACCAAAAAUUUUGAGGCCUUUUCGAUUUGAUCGGGCAUUUUGCAAUGCACCUGUACUCCAACUUCUACUCGUAACAUAAACACUCAAGUACUAUGCAUUCCAGGCAGAAUCGAUGGUUUCUAACCUUAUUUCUUCAUUCGCAAUACUGGCAAUACAAAACACCCUUUCAGUUGCAAACCGUACCAACCUCCUCACUCUCUUUCAGAGAGCAAGAAUGGCUCUCUGUUUAAGUGGUCUCUCCCACUCACGGUGUGUCGGAACGAGUUUAAAUUUUUUGACAAGUCACAGCAAAAACUCUUCAGGUUCUUGAAGUAGAGUGUCUACUGAGUCAUUUAAGCCAAAAAGAAAAAAAAUCCUAUCAAGCUCCUGGAAAAUAAAGUCGAUUUAAAGAUAUUUUUGGGCUAAAAUAGUCAAAUUACACAUAUCAAGGCCCGUCAUAUUAUUUAAAAAUUUUUUUCUUCCUGGAUAUAAUGCCCAAGUUUCUUAAACAUGCAUAUUUUAAGCCUUCGAUUACUUAUACUACCAAUUUUAACCAUAUGGUGAAUUUUGGGGGCCUAAAAUGAGCCCUCAGAGCCAAAAAUUGCAUACAUUUUCGAAAACUUCGGAUUUUCAGGGGGAUUUUUUUUUUUUUUUAACGUUGUUUUUUCCACAGUCGUCAAUGAGUAAUUCUGAAGGGCAUUUCCGAUUACAUAAUUGACAUUUUGACUGUUGAGGUGAAGGGGGAGGGGGGCAUCAGGCUUUGCUUUACCUUUCUCACAGUUUAUGAAAAUGCUUGAAAAUUCCCUAUCACAUUGGAAGUCCAAAAUAUCCCUUUUUAAUUCAUUAAUCACUGCUUCUGAUAUCAUGAAAUAUGCAGCAGGAGUUACUGCUCCUCCCCCCCUCCUCCACUACGAAAUGCAUGUAAACCUUGAUCUCUACCGGAUCCUUGCUUUUCGCAUGAUGGCAGUCCGUUGUCUAGCAUAAACUUGUAGCAUGACUUGACUUAGUAGACAUUCUACUUCAAGAACCUGAAGAGUUUUUGCUUGUGACUUGUCAAAAAAUUUAAACUCGUUAUGACGCACCGUGCACUCUCAAAAAGAGUUGGUUUCAGCAAUGCCUUUGCCCGCUUUGUUUGAUCGUUUACGGUUUGUUUCCUUUUUUAGCUUCAAAAUAUAAAUAUUCCAUUCCCUGGUCAGUCCAUGGGGGCUGAAUUUAGUUUAAAACUCAUGUGGUCGGUGGGUGAAGUUGGCAGUUAGUUUUGGCUCUGUUUUUUAAUACAUUUUCUCCUCAUCAGUCUCUAGCGUGGUCUGUCCAUUUUUCACAAAACCUUUGUGUUUUUCUUCCACACCCACGACUGAGGGCGGCAAGUUGUCCUGUCUCCAGACCCAACUUUUGUUCAGCUGCUCAGGUUUUCCAAAUUCAAUUUUGCUUUCACGUAUUAGUCUUGUAGUCACACAUAGUAGCAAUUUGUGCUUGUUGCCUUAUUCUUCUGGAUUAGGAAGGUCAAGAUAACUAAACAAAUCUAGUAACGUUCCCUAAUCAUUUCUGCAAAAUUAUAUUAGUUUAACUUGAUAGCUAUAUUUUAUAGACGCAGUCUGUGAUCUAGUUUGUGAUUUAAAAAAUAAAUUAUUGUACUCCCCGAUGCACAGUUCUAUUUUUGCAUUUAGACUGUCUAUUUUUUGUGAGGAUGUUUGUCUUUUGUCAUCACAUAUUUUCCCCAUUUUUCAUGUUAGGCUCACCGUUGUUUGAUUGAAUACUCCAUUUGAUACUGAGACUUUGUUGGUAUCAAUUGACUCUGUCUAUAUCUUUCUGUCUAAUGAUGAAGAAUAUAAAUGAUAAUUAUAGUAACCAAACUUAACUGUUUUAUUGGUGUAUAAAAAGUAUUUUUAACUUCUUGAAGUUUUUUGCUGUCAUUUCAAAUUAAAUAUCUAUUGAUGUGGGGCAGAUGAUUUUUUAGCCUUGAGUAGCAUUGACUGUUACUUUUGGAAUUUAUAAAUUGUAAAAAAAAGUUUUAAGAUGUGCAAGUCAGGAGACCCUGUUUUGUUCUCUUUAAGUAAAAUUUAUGUAAAGUUGAGAUUUACGUUUAAAAAAAAGUUAUGAAAAAAAAAUUGUUAUCAAAAUUUUGUUAAAUUCUAAAAAUUACUCACAUUGAUGCUAAAUACAAGGUAAACUGCAGAAUAUAUAGCAUGAAAUUCACUUACAUUCUUCGGAAGUUUGUACAAUAUUUGUGAUAAAAUUUACUAAAAUAAAGUGACAAGAAAUUUGUAAAUCAGAAAAGUAACAAAAUCUUGUAACCUUCUAAUAAGAGGGUGAGAUGUAGUUCAGACCAAAAAAUACAACAAGCGGGAAAGCUCUAAUACGUGGGUAUUAGAGAAGCGCUCAGCGGUGAGCUUUCAUAUAUAUUAGGUUAAGAUGAAGAGAAAAAAUGGUCGCCACGGAGACCAUUUAGCAUAGCAUAUGUUUCAACAACACAUAACCUAGAUGUAGGCAAAUUCUACUAAGGUCUCCGAAUAAGGUUAUCACCGGUGGAAAAGUUUUCGGAAAACAGAACGCAAAUCUUGAACUUUCAGAAGUAAUUAUAGGAUAACUAUAAACCGCAUAGCAAAGAGAGUUUUUAGGACUGUUAUUUAUUUCUUACACUAAUUUGCAUUUAAUCGUAUUCACAGAGGUAUAAUGAGGUAAUCAAAAAAUAAAAAAGGAAAAAUGGCGUUUCGGGCAUCGAUGAGUUGGUGCGCCAUUUGAUCGCUUGAGCGCCCUACUAUACUAGAGCUCUAGUGGCAGGUCGAAAUCAAAAAGCGCCGCCUAUCGGCUGAGCGCUUAAAAGCUUCAAGAACUUAAAGGUGAUUUUUCCUGGGUUCUUGGCCUGAUGGAACUGACAAGCUAUAUAUCACAUGGAUUAAUUAGAAAGUCUAGGCAGAAUCUUGACUUUUUAGUCAAUUAAAAGACGAUAGUGCCUGCGCGUGAAUCUAAAGAAUCAUUCUCAAUCAAAAAAUGUUCAAAAUUUAGAGAAAUGAAAGCAGGAUUCUUCUUGGGAUAAAAAACGUUGCAUUUGAUACAGUAGUCCAUCUCUGAAUCAAACUUGACAUUUUUUUCCAAAAAGAAUCUUGCCUUCAUUCCUUUGAACGUCAACAUUUUUUUUGGCCUUUGUCCUUUUUUGACGUAAUGGAUGCUAUAUAUUCGACCAUGCCAAGAACUAAGGAGGAAUUACCUUAAGUCUUUAGCUAAAAUUUGGUUUUUUGUUAUUUUCUGAUAUCAGGGAUAUUUUUUAAAGCACUACAAAGUUGCAUUCCAGAAUCCGUCAUCUGUGAUAGCUACGGCAAUCAAUUUUUCUUUUCAUGAAUUGAGCCCUUUAAAGCCUUGUCCAAGUACAUGAAAUACAAGUGGGAAGCUUGAUUUCUCUCAAUAUUUGUAUUUUUUUAAAAAAAAUUUAUACCACUAACUUUUUAAUUCUAUAACACAAAUAUUUGGCUCUGAAAUGUGCAGAGCAAAUUCUAUGUUUAUGGUAUGUUGUUUGUCUCAGGUAGGUAAUAGUUAUUCUUAAGAUUACCAUAUCUCUGGUCCUAUUAGUUUUUAUGACAUCUCUAUUGUUAUUCAAACAGAAUUUAUUUGACUGCACAACUGUGUCUGGAAAAUUCUAAAUUUUGUGCACUUUCAUUGUUGUAAAGUUUUAUAACUGACUAAAAUUGUUUUGCGUAGCAUCUUAUAAUAUAAUUCUAUGAAUUUUUAUUUU
Molecule: long non-coding RNA, 5137 nt
Filed under: Bemisia tabaci
Lineage: Eukaryota; Metazoa; Arthropoda; Insecta; Hemiptera; Aleyrodidae
Description: lncRNA ENSASIAIIG001645
Source: RNAcentral